This is a non-coding RNA of Mycena leptocephala, 91 nucleotides long. NCBI's taxonomy places the organism in Eukaryota, Fungi, Basidiomycota, Agaricomycetes, Agaricales, Mycenaceae. The record is from the annotation of a GenBank genome assembly.
GCACCGGUAGUGUUCGGAACAUGCCGUCAUCAUGUACGGAAAUCAUAAGGUAAGUAGCAGGCGAUACGGGGUUCGAUUCCCCGCUGGUGCA